AGAGUGUGUGAGUGUAUAUGUGCACAGUUCUGAGAAGUUGAGACGUUUUGAAUUGGCCGAUUUGGUACCUACAGCUGAGGAAUAGUCCCAUCUCCACAUUAAAUAUCUCUGCAAGUUGAUAGGUCCAAUAUUUUGGGAGAUAUUAGUACUUUUGGAAU
Sphaeramia orbicularis (orbiculate cardinalfish) is the source of this 158-nucleotide long non-coding RNA. RefSeq lists it as uncharacterized. The record is from RefSeq and is a predicted model, not a curated record. NCBI's taxonomy places the organism in Eukaryota, Metazoa, Chordata, Actinopteri, Kurtiformes, Apogonidae. The transcript is spliced from 3 exons.